Molecule: ribosomal RNA, 601 nt
Filed under: Absidia sp. O_1_LILB_26_5o
Lineage: Eukaryota; Fungi; Mucoromycota; Mucoromycetes; Mucorales; Cunninghamellaceae
Description: partial 28S ribosomal RNA
Rfam family: Eukaryotic large subunit ribosomal RNA
Source: RNAcentral
AUCUGAAAUCAGGCGGGAUUACCCGCUGAACUUAAGCAUAUCAAUAAGCGGAGGAAAAGAAAAUAACAAUGAUUCCCCUAGUAACGGCGAGUGAACAGGGAAAAGCUCAAAGUUGGAAUCUCCCAGUCCUAGAUUGGGCGAAUUGUAAACUAAAGCUCUCGAGUAGUUCGGCUAGCCUGGUAAACAAGUUCUCUGGAAAGGGACGACAAAGAGGGUGAAAUCCCCGUUUUUGGCCGGAGCAUAGUCUUGCGUUUGCUNGGAAGCGAAGAGUCAGGUUNUNUGGUAUNGCANCNNANAGUUGGAGGUAAAUCUCUCCUAAAGCUAAAUAUUGACGAAAGACCGAUAGCGANCAAGUACCGUGAGGGAAAGAUGAAAAGCACCUUGAAAAGGGGGUCAAAAAGUACGUGAAAUUGNUGAAAGGGAACCGUANGAAAUCAGCCUGUGUCNUUAGUAAUCAAUCUGGGCCUCGGCCUGGANGCACUUNNUANUGACUCAGCNUGCGACAGUUUGAUNNGGGGGAAAAAAUCAAGGAGAAUGUGGCCUCGACUUUCGGUGGAGGUGUUAUAGCUCUUUGAAAAAUACUCUGGAUUGGACUGAGGAC